CCCUGUAGUUGACAAAUUACAUGUGACCAGAGUGCAGCCACAGCUAUCUUACUUUCCAUCCCUCAUUUGUGUCCAGGAAAGCAUCGCUUACUGACAUGUCAGACAGAGGGCUGGAGGCCAUUUUGUCCCUAACAGUGGAAGGAGAGGAGUGCCCCUUGCUGUGCAUCAGCCGCGAGUUCUCCAUGUGGGAGAUGAAGUACAGCACCAUUAAGAAGGAGUGCUUGGCCAUCAAAUGGGCGGUCCUUACCCUCCAUCAUUACCUGCUCAGAUCGCGCCCCACUCCAGUGGCUCCACCACAUGAAGGAUGCCCAGAUCACCUGUUGGUAUCUGGCUCUGCAACCUUUUAAGUUUGAGGUGGUCCACAGGCCAGGGGCACAGAUGGUGGUGGAAGACUACCUCUCCUGGUGGGGGGAGUCAGCUGCAGGUCGGAUGGCUCCCUGGCCUGAGUCAGAUGGUGGAAGUAUGUGGCGGUGGGGCCGUGGUCAAGGGCCAGUUUGUGAAUGGAGAGUGAAGCCAGGGAAGGCGAAUAGCAAAGUGGAAGCACUUGUGGUGAAUUAAUGUGCUGUGUUUGUGUGCAGUGACAAGCAGAAGAUAUAAAAGAGAGAGAGGAGCAGAAAGUGGUUGGUCUGCCCCUGGCUGAAAUCAUGCCCGUGCAUCAGCAUGCAACAUUUUAAAGUCCAUGGAAAAGUUUGUUUUGGUUGAGUUGUAGUUAAAUAAAACCAAAAAAGUAAACCUGAUCCUGCCUGCCUGUUCUUCAUCAUCCACCACUAUCAGGGAAACAUUACAACCACAUAACCAAAACCAUCAAGGACGUCAUCCUGAACUACUACGGGAACUUCAGGCUUAGUCACUUCUGGGAGCUCAACAUCUGACUGGCACUGGCUUGAGAAAGGGAUCAUAACUGGCUGUACACUCUCAGUUAUUCUCUUCAUUCUUGCCAUGAAUAUGGUGGUCAAGGCAGCUGAGACAGAGCGCAGAGGCCCCAUGUCCAAGUCUGGUAUCCAGCAGCCCCCCCAUCAGAGCCUAUACAGAUGACCUGACAGUCACCACUACAUCAGUGCCUGGCAGCAGAUCCUUCAGGGCCUGGUAAAGCUCAGCUCCUGGGCAAGAAUGAGCAUUAAACCAAUGAAAUCCAGGUCUAUGGUCCUGAAGAGAGGAGAAGUGGUGACCUUUGUGGAUGGCAUUUCUAUACCAUCUAUCAUUAAAUCACAUUACAGGCAUUUAGCAGACAUUCAUCCAGAGCGACAUACAACACACCCAGAGCAGCCUGGAGAGGAGUCGGUGGUUAGGUGCCUUGCUCAAGGGCACUUCAGCCAUUUCUGCUGGUCCAGGGACUCAAACCAGUGACCUUUUGGUCCCAAAGCUGCUUCUCUAACCAUUAGGUCAUGGCCUCCCCCAUCACUGAGAAACCAGUCAUGAGCCAAUACAAGAUCUUUAAAUGUAGCCUUAGGGACACAGAAUCUAUCCAGUCAACCAUCAAGAAGCUUGGCUGUCCACAAUAGACAAGUCUGGUUUAACUAGCAGGUUCAAGGCAUGGAUAUACCAACACGGCAUCUUGCCCCAAUUCCUCUGAUUCUGUUGGUGUAUGAGAGGACAAUGUCUAUAGUCGAGACCCUGGAGAGAAAGAUCAGCUGUUACAUCUGCAGAGCACUGAAGAUGAUUUAAGGGCCAAAACAGGCACAGGGAAGGCACACUCAGAGCCUCUACUGUCCCUGGGCACAUCAGUGUCAGUAAUACAGGGGUCUGUUUAAAAAAAAAAACAACACCAAAGUGAAAGUGCUGUCAGCUGGCAAGUGACUGAAGGGCUCCAUGUUUCGGGUGGCACGGCAUGUUGAGCUCCUGUGGCUAAUGCAGUGGCAUUUUUAGGCCCCAUCACACAGGGCUAUAUCCCCUGGGUAUUUUUGCCCUCAAAAAAGAUCAUUGGAAAUGGGGUGGCACCCCAGCGCCCCAUAGUAACCAGCCGCCACUGAUGACUACUGUGUUGCUGCUGUCAUGCCUUCACCUGCUGGAGCUCGUGCGCCUUUGGGACAAUUGAUCAUUGCACACACAUGUUACUAAUUUGAAAUGUAAUCAGCAUGCGCAUAAAAAGAGACACACAAACACACACACUGCGCAAAGUAUUGAGGUCACAGUGACCCUUACCAAGCCGUAUGUUCAUCUUGUCAUACUGGCUCUCGGCUUCAAUUCUGUUUUGGACUUCACCUUUUGUCUGUGCCUCACUCAACCCUUGCCUGUCUACUGUUACCUAUUUUGCCGACUGAUUUUGAUUGUUUGACUGCAUGGUUUUUAAUAAAAACUUUUCUGCAUUUC
Molecule: long non-coding RNA, 2310 nt
Organism: Neoarius graeffei (lesser salmon catfish)
Lineage: Eukaryota; Metazoa; Chordata; Actinopteri; Siluriformes; Ariidae
Exons: 3
Source: RefSeq, a predicted model, not a curated record